RNAcentral lists this non-coding RNA (917 nucleotides) under Liocranchia reinhardtii. RNAcentral describes it as "12S ribosomal RNA". The stretch from base 462 to 910 matches the Rfam family "Microsporidia small subunit ribosomal RNA", at positions 752 to 1303 of the family's 1311-position model. The record is from RNAcentral. Lineage: Eukaryota; Metazoa; Mollusca; Cephalopoda; Oegopsida; Cranchiidae.
AUUUAAUUUGGCUUUAGUUAUAUAUAUAGGCUAUAACUAAUUUUAUAUAUGCUAGAAUUGUUAAUUGUCGUUUUAUUUAAAUUAUUAUUAGUUGGUUAAUUUAAUAUUAAUCAAUUAGUAGUGUAUAUUAUUAAUAUAAUAUUAAUAUAAUAAAUAAUAGGUUACGCAGUAUUUAUAAUUAUACAAUGAAUGAAAGUUUGAUAUAGUUAAUGUUUUUAAAAGUGGUUUAAUUGGUGCCAGCAGCUGCGGUUAUACCUAUACUUUAAGUCUAUAUAAAUAUAGUAUAAAAUAAAGUAAUAAGUUAUUGUAUAAUUUUUAGAAUUAAUGAGUAAAACAAUUGUAGGUAAAAUUUAAUUGUUUUAAUUAAUUAAAUAAUUCUAAUAUUAGUUCUUUGAAAAUAAGGUGUUUGUAAACUAGGAUUAGAGACCCUAUUAUUCUUUAUUUUAAAAAUUUAUUUACUUAAGUAGUACGAAUAAAAUAAAAACCUUUUUUAUUUUGUUUUUGUUUGAAACUUAAAAAGCUUGGCGGUGUUAUAUAUCCUUCCAGGGGAGCUUGCUUAUUAAUUUGAUAAUCCCCAAUUUAUACUCACUUCUUUUUGAAUUUUUAACAGUUUGUAUAUUGCUGUCGUCAGUUUAUUUUGUAAAAAUUUUGUAAAAAACUUAAUAACGUUUGGGUUAUAAUGUCAAGUCAAAAUGCAGUAGAUGGAGAAGGUUUUAAAGUGAGCUACAAUUUAUAAUAUUUAAUCGGAUUAAAAUAGUGUAAUUCUAUUUAUGAAGUUGGACUUGGUAGUAAUAACUAGUAAUAGUAAGUCUAUAUGAAUUAGGUUUUAUAAUGCGUACAUAUCGCCCGUCGCUCUUGUUGGGAAAUAAGAUAAGUCGUAACAUAGUAGGAGUAGUGGAAGCUGCUCCUGGAAUGAA